Non-coding RNA from Triticum aestivum (bread wheat), 134 nucleotides. The record is from Rfam. Lineage: Eukaryota; Viridiplantae; Streptophyta; Magnoliopsida; Poales; Poaceae.
UACUUACUUCCUCCGUUCUAAAUUAUUUGUCUUAGAUUUGUCUAGAUAUAGAAGUAUCUAGUACUAAAAUGAGUUUAGAUACAUUCAUAUCUAAUAAAUCCAACACAAGUAAUUCGGAACGGAGGGAGUACAUA